RNAcentral lists this ribosomal RNA (253 nucleotides) under uncultured bacterium. RNAcentral describes it as "partial 16S ribosomal RNA". It matches the Rfam family "Bacterial small subunit ribosomal RNA", at positions 524 to 776 of the family's 1533-position model. The record is from RNAcentral.
UACGUAGGGUGCGAGCGUUAAUCGGAAUUACUGGGCGUAAAGCGUGCGCAGGCGGUUGUGCAAGUCAGCGGUGAAAUCCCCGGGCUUAACCUGGGAAUGGCCUUUGUGACUGCACGGCUAGAGUGUGUCAGAGGGGGGUAGAAUUCCACGUGUAGCAGUGAAAUGCGUAGAGAUGUGGAGGAAUACCGAUGGCGAAGGCAGCCCCCUGGGAUAACACUGACGCUCAUGCACGAAAGCGUGGGGAGCAAACAGG